RNAcentral lists this ribosomal RNA (1041 nucleotides) under Citricoccus zhacaiensis. Its description in RNAcentral is "bacterial SSU rRNA". It matches the Rfam family "Bacterial small subunit ribosomal RNA", at positions 398 to 1448 of the family's 1533-position model. The record is from RNAcentral. Lineage: Bacteria; Bacillati; Actinomycetota; Actinomycetes; Micrococcales; Micrococcaceae.
CGCUUGAGGGAUGACGGCCUUCGGGUUGUAACCUCUUUCAGUAGGGAAGAAGCGAAAGUGACGGUACCUGCAGAAGAAGCGCCGGCUAACUACGUGCCAGCAGCCGCGGUAAUACGUAGGGCGCGAGCGUUAUCCGGAAUUAUUGGGCGUAAAGAGCUCGUAGGCGGUUUGUCGCGUCUGCCGUGAAAGUCCGCGGCUUAACCCCGGAUUUGCGGUGGGUACGGGCAGACUAGAGUGCAGUAGGGGAGACCGGAAUUCCUGGUGUAGCGGUGAAAUGCGCAGAUAUCAGGAGGAACACCGAUGGCGAAGGCAGGUCUCUGGGCUGUUACUGACGCUGAGGAGCGAAAGCAUGGGGAGCGAACAGGAUUAGAUACCCUGGUAGUCCAUGCCGUAAACGUUGGGCACUAGGUGUGGGGGACAUUCCACGUUUUCCGCGCCGCAGCUAACGCAUUAAGUGCCCCGCCUGGGGAGUACGGCCGCAAGGCUAAAACUCAAAGGAAUUGACGGGGGCCCGCACAAGCGGCGGAGCAUGCGGAUUAAUUCGAUGCAACGCGAAGAACCUUACCAAGGCUUGACAUGUUCUCGAUCGCCACAGAGAUGUGGUUUCCCCUUUGGGGCGGGUUCACAGGUGGUGCAUGGUUGUCGUCAGCUCGUGUCGUGAGAUGUUGGGUUAAGUCCCGCAACGAGCGCAACCCUCGUUCCAUGUUGCCAGCGGGUUAUGCCGGGGACUCAUGGGAGACUGCCGGGGUCAACUCGGAGGAAGGUGGGGACGACGUCAAAUCAUCAUGCCCCUUAUGUCUUGGGCUUCACGCAUGCUACAAUGGCCGGUACAAUGGGUUGCGAUACUGUGAGGUGGAGCUAAUCCCAAAAAGCCGGUCUCAGUUCGGAUUGGGGUCUGCAACUCGACCCCAUGAAGUCGGAGUCGCUAGUAAUCGCAGAUCAGCAACGCUGCGGUGAAUACGUUCCCGGGCCUUGUACACACCGCCCGUCAAGUCACGAAAGUCGGUAACACCCGAAGCCGGUGGCCCCAACCCCUUGUGG